GAGCGGCGCAGUAUGUGUGUGUGUGUGUGUGUGUGCCCAUCUUUAACACAACACAGUCGGACAAGCUCCGUCUCGUAGCGAGAUACCGCCGUUCAUGCAGGUAAUGAGGAAAGACAACAGGAAGGACACACAAGAUGAUUGAAACAAUGGAUACGCAGCGUUGUCUGCAUGCCAUAGAGAGGUUACAGUCUCGCUUGAAAGAAAAGGGAGCAGACGUUCCUGCCGAGGAGAAGCUGAAUCUUCUGACGGCUGUUCUGCAGAGUCCUCUGUUUCACCAGAUCCUUGCGCUGCAGAAAUCAGUGCAGCAUCUGAAAGAGCAUGUAAGAACAAAACACAACACUGCAGGAAAAAAUACUUUGGUUUUGUUGGGCAAACAACAAACCAGUUCAAACAGAGAGAAAAAGAAUAAUUGAUUUAUUUACCCUCCAUGUAGAAAUUUCUAAGAAUAUUCAUAUAAGGUCAGGUGCAAAAAACCCAUUCUCCUCUGACCUCUAGCAUCAACAAGGCAUUUUCGCCCACAGGACUGCCGCAUACUGGAUGUUUUUCCCUUUUCACACCAUUCUUUGUAAACCAUAGAAAUGGUUGUGCGUGAAAAUCCCAGUAACUGAGCAGAUUGUGAAAUACUCAGACCGACUCGUCUGGCACCAACAACCAUGCCUCGCUCAAAAUUGCUUAAAUCACCUUUCUUUCCCAUUCUGACAUUCAGUUUGGAGUUCAGGAGAUUGUUUUGACCAGGACCACACUCCUGAAUGCAUUGAAGCUACUGCCAUGUAAUUGGUUGAUUAGAUAAUUGCAUUGAUGAGAAACUGAACAGGUGUUCCUAAUAAUCCUUUAGGUGAGUGUAUGUAUAUAUAUAUGAACCAUAUAUAUAGCACAGAAUGCUGCCUCGUGUCCUUGGUCGUUUCAGACAUGCUGACAUCUUAAGAUUUGAGUCUCAGUUGAUUAUUCAGUCAUUUGUUUUAACAGUCCGCUUUGAAUCCUUGCUGCCCUGAUCUGAGCUGAUUGAGAUUACGUGAUUAUUCAAAUCACAAACAAUGAAAAAAAUACUGGAAAAUAUUCAUAAGUAAGGCACAGCUUAAUUAUUUAGGGAGAAGCUUCGCUGGUUGGGCAGAUUUGGGGGUUUUUGAGCUUUGUGUGUUCAUGGAGAGUUUGGCACCGGCAGCCGUUUGGUCUGAAGUAUGCGAGUUAUGCUGGAACAGAGGAAUGGAGAUUACCAGAUCCCCAGGGCCUUGCCUCUCGCUCUCUUCACUCAUAUACUUAUGAACUGCAGAGUGGAACGAUGUUAACAGCCCGUGUGGAAGAAGGAAACCAUCUAAUGUCAGUCUAAAAGUUAUGGACUCGUAUAGAACACAGCUAAUAACCCUUUUGAAAAAAGUGCCCUUAACUGUAUAGAAUGUGCACUUGUAGUGUACUUCAAAUCUUGAGUGUGUUUUUAUAAAACUACACUUGCAGAUAAUAUAAUAGUGUUCAUGAACACUUCUCUUUUGCCGAGAUAAUCCAUCCACCUCACAGGUGUGGCAUAUCAAGAUGCUGAUUAGACAGCAUGAUUAUUGCACAGGUGUGUCUUAGGCUGGCCACAAUAAAAGGCCACUCUAAAAUGUGAAGAUUUACUUUAUUGGUGGGGUCCGGGGGGCCGAAAACCAAUCAGUAUCUGGUGUGACCAUCAUUUGCCUCAUGCAGUGCAACACAUCUCCUUCACAUAGAGUUCCCGUGGGAUGUUGGUCCACUACUCUUCAAGGGCUGUGCGAAGUUGCUGGAAAUUGGCAGGAAUUGGAACACGCUGUAGUAUACGCUGAUCCAGAGCUUCCCAAACAUGCUCAACGGGUGACAUGUCUGGUGAGUAUGCUGGCUAUGCAAGAACUGGGAUGUUUUCAGCUUCCAGGAAUUGUGUACAGAUCCUUACAACAUGGGGCUGUGCAUUAUCAUGCUGCAACAUGAGGUGAUCGUGUGGAUGAAUGGUACAACAAUGGGCCUCAGGAUCUUGUCACGGUAUCUCUGUGCUUUCAAAAUCCCAUCAAUUAAAUGCACCUGUGUUCGUUGUUCAUAACAUACACUUGCCCAUGCCAUAACCCCACCGCCACCAUGGGCCACUCGAUAUACAAUGUUGACAUCAGCAAAUCGCUCACCCACACAACGCCAUACACACUGUUUGCGAUCUGCCCUGUACAGUGAAAACCGGGAUUCAUCCGUGAAGAAAACACCUCUCCAAAGUGCCAGACACCAUUGAUUGUUGCAAACUGAUUGUUGCAGCAGCUGUCCGGGUGGCUGGUCUCAGACGAUCUUGGAGGUGAAGAUGCUAGAUGUGGAGGUCCUAGGCUGGUGUGGUUAAACACCUGUGGUUGUGAGGCCUCUUGGAUGUACUGCCAAAUUCUCUGAAACACCUUUGGAGAUGGCUUAUGGUAGAGAAAUGAACAUUCAAUUCACAGGCUACAGCUCUGGGGGACAUUCCUGCAGUCAGCAUGCCAAUUGCAUGCUCCCUCAAAACUUGCAACAUCUGUGGCAUUGUGUGGUGUGAUAAAACAGCACGUUUUAGAGUGGCCUGUUAUUGUGGCCAGUAGUGUUGUCAAAAGAUCCGGUACUUCGGUACCAAGUCGGUACUAAAAAGUACCUUUAAAAAGUACAGACAGCACCGAGGACUCGGUCAACCCGGUUCUUGACGCAUACAGCGCUAUGAUUUCUGUGAAUCAGAAAAUGCGGACGGAAUCUCAAAAUGAAACCUACAUUUUAAUAUGGACAGUCACAGAAUUCGUAAAGUUAGCAUAAAUUAAUCAAAUCAAAUCUCAAUAUGGACUAGUAUCUGUAAAUCUGUAAACCGCUGAUUUUCACUGGUAUCGUAAAUUUGUUACUUAGGCAAAGGUAAACAUCGCGAUUGCUUUAGCAAACACCUUUAAUAACCUGAGAAGUUUUUUUUGGUCCACACUAACCUGCAGGGUUGUUUAUGCCAACUGCUGGCGUCUGGCUCUGUCUGUGCUGCUAUAGUUACCAGAAUACAGAGAGAGAGAGAGAGAGAGAGAGAGAGAGACAUGAGUUCAUGUGUGAAGUGGAGCAGAAGUCAUUUUUGAAACGUGGAUGAGCCAUACUGGAGGCCUAAUCCUCUUACAUGGGAAGACUAACAAACACACGCUCUCGCAGAGCUGACAUAGUUUAGAGCGCAUUCAAAGCUUGUGCACGACCAGCAACCGAGCCUGGAGUCUGCGGCUGUUAAUCUGAAGAGCCUCUGGGAGACGUUUAUGAACAUUAAUGUUUACUGCGUAGUCUGAAGAGCGGCCGUUCGUGUGGAGAAGAGCCACAUAAAACCUGCAGAACCUGACAUAGUUUGUUAAAGAGACAGUUCACCCAAAAAAAUUACAAUUCUGUCAUCAUUUACUCUCCCUGAUGUCGUUCCAAACCUGUAUGAGUUUCUUUCUUCUGUUAACCACAAAAACAAAAAACAAAAAACAAAACACAUUUUGAAGAAUGCUGGAAACCAAACAGUUGACGGAAGCCAUUGACUACCAUAGUAUGGCAUAGGGAUGCACAAUAUUAGAUUUUUGCCAAUAUCUAAUAUGCCAGUAUUUUUCAACUCAUUUGGCCGAUGCCGAUAUAUUUCAUUUUGUUUUUCC
RNAcentral lists this long non-coding RNA (3602 nucleotides) under Carassius auratus (goldfish). Its description in RNAcentral is "lncRNA (ENSCARG00000049630.1)". Lineage: Eukaryota; Metazoa; Chordata; Actinopteri; Cypriniformes; Cyprinidae. The record is from RNAcentral.